Molecule: ribosomal RNA, 408 nt
Filed under: uncultured Paracoccus sp.
Lineage: Bacteria; Pseudomonadati; Pseudomonadota; Alphaproteobacteria; Rhodobacterales; Paracoccaceae
Description: bacterial SSU rRNA
Rfam family: Bacterial small subunit ribosomal RNA
Source: RNAcentral
AACGCGAAGAACCUUACCUGGUCUUGACAUCCACGGAAGUUUUCAGAGAUGAGAAUGUGCCUUCGGGAACCGUGAGACAGGUGCUGCAUGGCUGUCGUCAGCUCGUGAUGUGAAAUGUUGGGUUAAGUCCCGCAACGAGCGCAACCCACACUUUCAGUUGCCAUCAUUCAGUUGGGCACUCUGGAAGAACUGCCGAUAAUAAGUCGGAGGAAGGUGUGGAUGACGUCAAGUCCUCAUGGCCCUUACGGGUUGGGCUACACACGUGCUACAAUGGUGGUGACAGUGGGUUAAUCCCCAAAAGCCAUCUCAGUUCGGAUUGGGGUCUGCAACUCGACUCCAUGAAGUCGGAAUCGCUAGUAAUCGUGGAUCAGAAUGCCACGGUGAAUACGUUCCCGGGCCUUGUACACA